UAAACAGCAAAAUACUGUUUUAAUGUAAAAACAGCAAGUUGCCAUUUUUUACAAUGCAUCAUGGGAAGACUUGCUCACUUCAGUUUGAGUGGUUGAGCAACAACAGUAAGGGCACUGUAAUUUAACGGUUUUAUACCAUAUUUUUUUCUGUGUACACAAGACGCCAUUUUGGAUUAUCUACAUCUACGGAUUAUCUACAUGAGGUAAGUUUGCAGCUCCAAAUGUGACUAACUAUCUGUAAAGUACCUGUUAUUUUUUUAAAUCACAUGUAAACAUCCAAUAAACACACAACUGCAACAAUGAUUUGACUGUGUGAAUUUGAAAAGCAAGAUUAGCAUAAGGACUCGGUAACGUUAGUCCUCACAUCUCCUGGAGCCUGGAUGGAUAUUUUACCUGAACUUUUAGGAACAGUGCAAAUUUUGAACGUUAUAAUUUGUGGUUACAUGAACUGGAACAUUGCCCUGCAUUUUAUGACAGAUUUGAACUGCGUGCCUCUGUUUGAAACUCCAAGGUACUUACAAAAAAGGAUAAUUGGAUAAUUUGGAUAUUUUCGACGAGGUAAGAAGCUAUAUCUGUAAACGUACUAUCUUUAAAUUACUUAUUAAAUUUAAAUAUCAUGCCAUAAACAUCCAAUCAACACAUAACCAAAGCACCUGUUUAUUUAAUUGCAGGAUCCGACCGUGUGAAUGUCUUGAGAAGAGAAAGGGGGUAACUUUAGCCUAAUUUAGCAAGCUAACGAUAGCUGGAGGACUCAUUUUCACAUCACACACAGAUACACCUUUUCAUUUGCAACUCCGGUGCUUCUAAAAAUAACAUUUUAAGAUUGAGUGAGACCUUUGUUAUUUUUACGUUAUUGCAGUUGGUUUAUAUAGAAAUUGACUAGAGUUACGAUCAGAUUUUAUGCUUGGUAAUGUUACCUAAAGUGGCAGAGCUUUUAAUCUUUUUGAUGAUGUGAGUAAGGAGUAACUGCUAUUAUAAUGAAAAUUCUUUACAAUUCAUUUUUGACCAAUAGAUGUCUGCCACCACUGCUAAUCUUGAAAAGAUGGGUAACCUGCCUGUGACUCCUCAUUUGAUUCUGCCUGGUUCAGAUGAUACUUUGGGCCAGUGGAUAAAACAAUGGGUGAUCAGCAUGGAAGGCAGAGUAAUCUGUGAGGGUGAGCAUGCACACUGGAAUUCCUUCAAAGAUGCUUUGCUGGCAUAAAUCCAGAGAGGGGAACCAAGGCUGUGAGAGGAAAUGUGACGUCAAAAAAAACUGGCAAGACAGUUCAGAAGAAGACCAUGACUGUAAACCCCAAGGUUUCAAACCUUUUAAAGAAACUAAUGGACUUUGAAUGGGACUUUAUUUAAAAUGCAGCUAGCUUGAACCCCCUACUUUUGCAACACAGAGGCCUUUUUUUCUUUAUUUGCUGAAGCUCAUUUUGGGGCUAUAUAUUUUUAUAUUUUAUAUCCAAGACUAAAUUGUAAAGUGGCUAUUUAUUAAUUUUUUCUAUGACAUUCGGUAAGUUGCUUCUUGUUGUACAAUGCUGAAUACGAUCUUAACAUUUCUGGAGAACUUACAAUUUUUGCCUGUUCUUUGGCUUAAUAUUUUCACAAACACAAUGCAGAUUUUAUUUUGUGUUGUUUGAAAAUAAAAAAUGUGAAAUAUAA
This is a non-coding RNA of Danio rerio (zebrafish), 1647 nucleotides long. NCBI's taxonomy places the organism in Eukaryota, Metazoa, Chordata, Actinopteri, Cypriniformes, Danionidae. The record is from RefSeq and is a predicted model, not a curated record.